This 281-nucleotide long non-coding RNA is filed under the name Mytilus galloprovincialis (Mediterranean mussel). The record is from RNAcentral. Lineage: Eukaryota; Metazoa; Mollusca; Bivalvia; Mytilida; Mytilidae.
AGAUUUUCUGAAAAUUACUGAUUUUCAUAUCAAUUUGGAAGGGACAUAAUAAAAAAUUAAACUAUUGCAUAUAUAAAUAUUUAUGAAUAUAGUAAUAAGCACAUAUUCCCACAAUUAUUCCAUCUGUUUUGUUUAAAUCGCAAUUUUAGGUUUAACACGACAGAAAAUCCAAUAUUUAUCGGAGUUGGAUGAUUAACAGUGUGAACUUAUCGAGGCAACAAGACAAAUUUUCAAAAGCAUUUGGAAGGGAGAAGACCAAAAUUUAAACUUUUUCAAAAGGC